This 266-nucleotide long non-coding RNA is filed under the name Lupinus angustifolius (narrow-leaved blue lupine). RNAcentral's name for it is "long non-coding RNA (LANG_LNC003527)". The record is from RNAcentral. Lineage: Eukaryota; Viridiplantae; Streptophyta; Magnoliopsida; Fabales; Fabaceae.
UCCUCAAUUCCUCUAUACCCUAGUCGAGAAGCUCAAUAUGGAUACAAUGGUGUAGAUGCUCUCUUGCGGUUUUCUUUACUUAUUUUCUACUAAAACAAACCAAAUUUAUAUCAAUAUGCAAUGUACUAUUAUAUAUAAAAAGGAUAAAUCAUACAUAAAAAGAAGAUGAGUUUACCAAGAAAGACUUAUCUUUUGUGCGUCUAGUGACAAAAGCCUUCCAAUGAGCCUCAUCAAUGAUAUUUUCAUAUUUGGUUAGAAGUUUAACG